UACGUAGGGAGCAAGCGUUGUCCGGAUUUACUGGGUGUAAAGGGUGCGCAGGCGGGUUGGUAAGUCAGGGGUGAAAUCUCACGGCUUAACCGUGAAAUUGCCUUUGAUACUGCUAACCUUGAGUUCGGGAGAGGUCGAUGGAAUUCCAGGUGUAGCGGUGAAAUGCGUAGAUAUCUGGAAGAACACCAGUAGCGAAGGCGGUCGACUGGCCCGUAACUGACGCUCAGGCACGAAAGCGUGGGGAGCGAACAGGAUUAGAUACCCUGGUAGUCCACGCCCUAAACGAUGUAUGCUUGGUGUUGGCUCGUAUGAGUCAGUGCCGUAGGUAACCUGAUAAGCAUACCACCUGGGGAGUACGCUCGCAAGGGUGAA
Molecule: ribosomal RNA, 372 nt
Filed under: uncultured bacterium
Lineage: Bacteria
Description: bacterial SSU rRNA
Rfam family: Bacterial small subunit ribosomal RNA
Source: RNAcentral